Molecule: ribosomal RNA, 21 nt
Filed under: Coenochloris sp. KR 2006/325
Lineage: Eukaryota; Viridiplantae; Chlorophyta; Trebouxiophyceae; Chlorellales; Oocystaceae
Description: partial 28S ribosomal RNA
Source: RNAcentral
UCGACCUAGUUGAGGCCAAAU